This 374-nucleotide ribosomal RNA is filed under the name uncultured organism. RNAcentral's name for it is "partial 16S ribosomal RNA". It matches the Rfam family "Bacterial small subunit ribosomal RNA", at positions 527 to 896 of the family's 1533-position model. The record is from RNAcentral.
GUAGGUGGCAAGCGUUGUCCGGAAUUAUUGGGCGUAAAGCGCGCGCAGGCGGUUCUUUAAGUCUGAUGUGAAAGCCCACGGCUCAACCGUGGAGGGUCAUUGGAAACUGGAGAACUUGAGUACAGAAGAGGAAAGCGGAAUUCCACGUGUAGCGGUGAAAUGCGUAGAGAUGUGGAGGAACACCAGUGGCGGAGGCGGCUUUCUGGUCUGUAACUGACGCUGAGGCGCGAAAGCGUGGGGAGCAAACAGGGAUUAGAUACCCUGGUAGUCCACGCCGUAAACGAUGAGUGCUAAGUGUUAGGGGGGUUUCCGCCCCCUUAGUGCUGCAGCUAACGCAUUAAGCACUCCGCCUGGGGAGUACGGCCGCAAGGCUG